Molecule: ribosomal RNA, 753 nt
Filed under: Lacticaseibacillus rhamnosus
Lineage: Bacteria; Bacillati; Bacillota; Bacilli; Lactobacillales; Lactobacillaceae
Description: bacterial SSU rRNA
Rfam family: Bacterial small subunit ribosomal RNA
Source: RNAcentral
UUCUUGGCUGAAAGAUGGCGUAAGCUAUCGCUUUUGGAUGGACCCGCGGCGUAUUAGCUAGUUGGUGAGGUAACGGCUCACCAAGGCAAUGAUACGUAGCCGAACUGAGAGGUUGAUCGGCCACAUUGGGACUGAGACACGGCCCAAACUCCUACGGGAGGCAGCAGUAGGGAAUCUUCCACAAUGGACGCAAGUCUGAUGGAGCAACGCCGCGUGAGUGAAGAAGGCUUUCGGGUCGUAAAACUCUGUUGUUGGAGAAGAAUGGUCGGCAGAGUAACUGUUGUCGGCGUGACGGUAUCCAACCAGAAAGCCACGGCUAACUACGUGCCAGCAGCCGCGGUAAUACGUAGGUGGCAAGCGUUAUCCGGAUUUAUUGGGCGUAAAGCGAGCGCAGGCGGUUUUUUAAGUCUGAUGUGAAAGCCCUCGGCUUAACCGAGGAAGUGCAUCGGAAACUGGGAAACUUGAGUGCAGAAGAGGACAGUGGAACUCCAUGUGUAGCGGUGAAAUGCGUAGAUAUAUGGAAGAACACCAGUGGCGAAGGCGGCUGUCUGGUCUGUAACUGACGCUGAGGCUCGAAAGCAUGGGUAGCGAACAGGAUUAGAUACCCUGGUAGUCCAUGCCGUAAACGAUGAAUGCUAGGUGUUGGAGGGUUUCCGCCCUUCAGUGCCGCAGCUAACGCAUUAAGCAUUCCGCCUGGGGGAGUACGACCGCAAGGUUGAAACUCAAAGGAAUUGACGGGGGCCCGCACAAGCG